GGCCGUGCUGGCCCAGCGGCACGCACAUGCGAGGCAGCAGCGCAGCAGCUUCUUUUUUUUUUUUUUCCAAUAAUCGCUGGGACCCACGAUCAUCUUCUAGCUUGGGAUAGAGUCCAACCUGCGUACGAGUUUGUUACAGACGCGAGAAGUGCCAACUACUUCGCCCGAUUUCUCUCGGAUUUUUACCCCUUUUUCCACGAAACUUCGUCUAUAAAUACCCCAUAAUCUUCUCCGUUUUUGCUCCCCGAAAUCCCCAAUUGUUGCGCCGCCAGGCUGCGCAAAUUUCUCGCCGGAGUUCGAGCCGCCGCCGCCAUCGCUGAGCUUCGGAGGCCACUAGAACGCCGAGGAAACAUCGCCGGAGCUUUCGCCGGAGUUCCGCCGCAACAGAGCUCGGCCAGCCCACUGCCAUCGUCGACCGAGGAAGGAGGAGACGCUGAAUAGCCAGUCUCUGAGAAUCCCCAUGAAGCCCCGCAACCCCGUCGACCACUACCCCAGGCCGGAGGAGCAUCUGGCCGACGUGAACGACUCUAACCCCCAGGCCGGCACGUUCACUUCAAUCACGCCGACAGUUUCAUUGUGCUGUGCUCAUAGAUAUUCCGAUGAACGAGUGAGGUUCGAUGGUUUGGGUUACGAGUCUAUACUCGACAUGCUCGCCUGUGGCACAUGAAGAUGAAGGGCUCCAUGCUGAUAUGUUUCGUUGUAAACUCUGAUAUUGAGCUAGCCUUGUGCUAUGCAACUUGUAAUUAUUAUGUAAUAUCUGGAUCAUGCGAUAUAGUAAAGACCUUUUGAUAA
Molecule: non-coding RNA, 792 nt
Organism: Lolium perenne
Lineage: Eukaryota; Viridiplantae; Streptophyta; Magnoliopsida; Poales; Poaceae
Source: RefSeq, a predicted model, not a curated record